UUCCAGUUGUCAAGAUUCAUCUCCCAGAAAAGUAAAAGCUGAAAAGAACGUGUAAUCUUCUUGAGAGAGACCCCACAGUAUCUCCAGAUGUUUUGGGUUAUUCUGUGGUGAGGGGAAAAGGCCUAGGUUGAGAGAAGCAAAUAUGUUCAUUCUUUGAAAGGAGGAAGGUCACCAAGUGGGAACGGUUUCCAGCCUUUGGAAGUAUCGCAUUUCAGCAGAAGGAGCCAGGAAUAAGAUAUCAUUUGUUACCUUUGCUAAUCCAUUAAGUAGACAUUGGACAGCUGAGCUAUUAUUUGGAACUCUCUGCUAUGUAUCCUCUAACAAGGAAACAGUGUCCUGCUGAGUUUAGGUGUGGUGUGCGCUAAGGCGACAUAAAACUUUCAGCAGCUUUCGAUGAAGCUGAUUUUUAUUUUAGGGAACAGCACACACUGAAUCAGU
This 438-nucleotide long non-coding RNA is filed under the name Homo sapiens (human). Its description in RNAcentral is "non-protein coding lnc-GMDS-19:3". Lineage: Eukaryota; Metazoa; Chordata; Mammalia; Primates; Hominidae. The record is from RNAcentral.